RNAcentral lists this ribosomal RNA (497 nucleotides) under uncultured bacterium. Its description in RNAcentral is "partial 16S ribosomal RNA". It matches the Rfam family "Bacterial small subunit ribosomal RNA", at positions 28 to 507 of the family's 1533-position model. The record is from RNAcentral.
GAUGAACGCUGGCGGCGUGCCUAAUACAUGCAAGUCGAGCGAACGGACGAGAAGCUUGCUUCUCUGAUGUUAGCGGCGGACGGGUGAGUAACACGUGGAUAACCUACCUAUAAGACUGGGAUAACUUCGGGAAACCGGAUCUAAUACCGGAUGAUAUUUUGAACCGCAUGGUUCAAAAGUGAAAGACGGUCUUGCUGUCACUUAUAGAUGGAUCCGCGCUGCAUUAGCUAGUUGGUAAGGUAACGGCUUACCAAGGCAACGAUGCAUAGCCGACCUGAGAGGGUGAUCAGCCACACUGGAACUGAGACACGGUCCAGACUCCUACGGGAGGCAGCAGUAGGGAAUCUUCCGCAAUGGGCGCAAGCCUGACGGAGCAACGCCGCGUGAGUGAUGAAGGUCUUCGGAUCGUAAAACUCUGUUAUUAGGGAAGAACAUAUGUGUAAGUAACUGUGCACAUCUUGACGGUACCUAAUCAGAAAGCCCCGGCUAACUACGUG